Molecule: long non-coding RNA, 256 nt
Organism: Manacus vitellinus (golden-collared manakin)
Lineage: Eukaryota; Metazoa; Chordata; Aves; Passeriformes; Pipridae
Exons: 2
Source: RefSeq, a predicted model, not a curated record
CAGCUCAGUGCUGGUGUUCAAACAGCGCAGUUGUGUUUCAUCCCGACUGUCGCCUCUCGGGGAUUAUCUAGCUGCCUCAGAAGAGGUCUGUGAAAAGGCCAGAAGAACAUGUGCCUCAGUGAGGGCUGGAAAUAUUAAAUUUUCUUUUCAUGUACUUCCCAGCUACAAGUCUGCCAGCAGUUCUUUUUUGUCUUCUUUUUCCUUUCUAUCCACUUCUGUGCAGUCAUGUCUUAAUUAAAACUGUAUUAAACACCGA